CCCGCCCCGCCGCCCGCAGUGUUUACCCGUGUUUGGGUAGCAACUGGGCUUUAAAGGGGCCGGACGCCCUUCCCCCGCCGGCCCCGCGUCACCUGAGGUGACUCUUCCCUCCGCCGGCGGCCUCCCGGCCCGACCCCCGCCCGCCCCCCUGCUCCCGCCGCCCCUCCGGGAGCCCCGCGCACCCCGCCGCGGUUCGGGACCCUGCGCGCCGCGGACACCUCACCCCGCCGCCUUUUAUUUCCCCCUUAAAACGCUUUAAAAGACCCCGGAGCGUGGCCGUUUGGCGGUCGCCCGCGUGUCCGAGAGGAGCCGCGCGUGCAGACCCCCUCGAAAGUAAUGGAGGAACUCCUACAGGCCGGUAAAUCGUAGCUUGCAAACUGGAAAUUAUCAGUGGAGAAGGCCUCAUUCCUGUUUCCGCCACAUCAGUUCCAUUUCCAUGUGAAACUUUGAUAGUGAAAACAUGGUAACCAAGGAUGACUGGUCACAACAUUUCCAAAUACCAGUGCAAAGGAGACUUCAGCUAUUAAAGGAACAAAAAUGGCCCUCAGCUAUAUCUGCUUGCACAUCUGAGUUACAGCAUCUGACUGUGAACUGGACCUGCUGAAGGGGUAUGGUCCCUUUUGCCAAUUCACCUCCAGAAACAUUUGGCAAGGAGGUGGAAGACGCAGCUGGAAUGGUGAACAGCCUCCACAGGAUUUACCAAAGGAGUCCUGUCAAAUCUUCUAGUAGCAUAACCUUCCGAUGCCAUGUGACACUGUUUAAAUACUGGCAAAGGAAAGGAUUAUUAAACAGGAUCCUUAACCAGGAUGGACAUGGACUUCAUCAACAAAAAACAACUUAAAACCAGAAAUAAAUGGAUCCUCUCUGGCACUACCUGAAAGCUUUUGUGUGGAAUCCCACAAAGUAAGCAAGUGUACUGCUUCCUAGCUUUCCUCAGGCUGGCACUUGUGGUGGCUUUUCUUCAGCUGGUGCUUUUGUCUCCCAUGGGAUAAUAGUUACAGUGUUCUUAGCAGCUGAAAACUUAGGCUCACCUGCUUUUCUUUCAGUGAAAGGAUCUAAGACUUUUUCUUCCAAGGUUGGAUCUUUAUUUGAAGGGAGUUCCAGCAGGUUUCUUAGGUUUCUCAUUUCCUCUUGCUAUUUCUGCUCUCAUCUGUUUUGCAAAUGGCCAUCAUAAUACUAAGCUUAUCUAAUGGCCAGGCCUCCUCCUGGAAGAGUGCCAGCAGUGUACUGAAAAACCAGCCGUCUGAAAGCAUUCAGAGUAGAUGGCCAUCACCUUCUCCCUGAACCCCAAACAUAAAACUUCCCUGAUAAGCACAUACUCCAAUGACACGAAAAGCAGGAGGUUACUCUUAAAUCCAGAUAUCACUUUAACCAGCCUCCUGGGGUGGCAGUCAGGCACUUUUCGAAAUUAGUCUCACUCCACAAAUUUUUUUUGUUGGUGUUCGGAAAAAGGUGUUACAUGUUCAUAUGGUAAAGAGGGAACGUCCCCACGGUGGCUUCUCUGUGAACAUUUUCCCUCCUACAGUUGCUUCUCACUCUUGUUAACUGUGACCCUUCUCUCCCUCACUGUGGUAGGGUGUAUUUUGGGUCCAGCUACUCCUAGCUUUUGAUGUCAGGGCAGUGAGUGGAGGUACAGAAGUGGCAGUUCCUGGGAUCAGUGAAACUUAGGGGCUUUUCCUGCUGAGAAGGUGGCAAGGGCAGAGCAACUUACUUUUCCUUGGUAAGGGGAAGUCUGUGAAAAUGCAAGAUUUCUUGCAGGUCUUUAUGCACAGACAUACAUGGAAAACAAAAUCUUGUUAACUUUGCUAUUGACCUUGGUGAGAUCUGGAUUUUAUCCAAAAGGAGGAAGUCAGUAGGAGUUCUGGGUCUCCAAUUUAGAAAUUUGAGAAGAUGCCUAAAAAAAAAUGCCCAAGGUCUGCAUAAGACACCCUGAGGACAUAAAAUGUAGCAGUAAAGGUUCACACGAGAACUUAACCUUGUAAAAAGAAAAACAGGAGAAGUUUGUCGUCAUACCUUGGUUUAUCAGUCAGAACCUAAGAAGGAAGAUUCAAGAGUUUUGUCUCUACAUCUCUUAGAGGAACCAGCUCUGUAGGAAUGGAGGACUGGGGUCUGAGUGAAAAAUCAUGCCUUGUUUGGACUUCUGUUUCCCCAAAGAAAAGGAAUUUUGACCUUUGCUGGAGACCUGGAGAAAGAAACAGCAGGCCAGAAAGGAGAAACAGAAGUAUGAAGACAUCUGCACAGCAAGAAUAAGAGAAGCAGUUCUCAGCUAGCCCAUUUUGGAAAAAGGGUUGACAACAGCAUGGGAGGAGAAAGAUCUGCUGGCCACUGCUUCGUCUCUCUGAAAGGCUGGUUCAGUCAGCACUGAGGGAGACCUAUGGGGAGCUUGCUGGGAAAACAGUGUUUCCCAGCGCCCAGGGAUCCCACUGUCUCAGCACUGUAGGAUUUGCUACUUACCAUGUCCGAAGGCUGCUGACUCAGCCACCGAGCAUCAGUCUAAUACUUUCCAGUCUGCUAUACCAGAGGAAAUACAAAGCCAGGAAUGCAUGACAAAACUAAAGAAGGUAUCAUAGUAUGCAAGGUAAACUCCUUUCUGUUCCAAAAAAAGGAAAAAAGAAAAGUCAUCCACUUCAUAUUGUUUUAUUAAACUAAGUAGACUAAAUAAUGCUUUGGCUUGGUUUAUUUAUUUAAUUAAAUAACAUUUAUUUAGAGGGAUGCUUUAUGUAAGUGACUUUAAUCAAAAAUCAAGCUUAACACAAUAGAGAGAUUGUCAGCUGGGAUAAACUGGCACAGCUCUGUGGGUGUCAACUGCUGACUUACACCGGCUGUGGGGCUGGGGCUGCCUCAGCACGGUCAUUUGUUGAUUAAACAAACUUUCCUAAGGCUGAGGAAUCCAAAUAACGGCAAUAAGGCUCACUCCGGCUUCUAACUCAUGCGAUAAGGUCUUGUGCUGGUCUUCCCAUCAUAGGACUAAGGCAAACAAACACAGCUAGAAUUUCUGGAAUCUAUUGCCUUUUUGAAGGGUAUUAUUUAAAAAUUAGACUGCAAGAGAUUAUUACCAGAAGCACAAGACUUUAGAACAGACUUCCUAGAAACAAAACAAGUUUGGGGAAAACCCCUCAAACAAUCCCCCUUACUGUAAGGCACCUGUUCUCCUUAAAACACUUUUUUUUAGUGGAAGUCACCCCAGCUGAAUUAAAUUUGUUUCCCUUGGGCCUGCAUUUUCUUUAGCCAACACAACAGCUGCACCAUGUGGAGAUGAGCCACAAGAAGUGUAACAACACAUGUUUGUGAUUGCUGUAUCAGCUUUGGCAGAUUUAAGUGCAGAGGUCUUUAGCUGCCUUCUAUUAGAAAGCCAGCUUUACAAUAUAUACAACAUCUUGCAAAGUAGCAGCAACAAUAUAUAUAGUUUUAUGUAUUUCUUGUACAUGCUGGUACAGUAAAACCAGAAAGGAACUGACUAUUACUUAUAGCUAUAAAUAUUGUAUUAAGCACAAACAUUUUCUUUUGCACGUCAUGUAAAAAUAGGAGCAGAACAGGAGGAUGGGUUAACUGCAGUUAAAAAAAUCCCCAGAGGCGCACUGUGCUAGCUGUUAUCCAGCCCUGCAGAGAUAUGCAGCCAUUCAGAAUUUGCAGUAACCCUGUUAUUUUGAAGCUGCAGUAAGUUUAAUCUCUCCAAGAAAUUGCUGAAUUCCUGGAAAAUAGUGCAUAAUCGUUGUGCAGAGUACUUUUUUUUUUUCUUUCUUAUUUUAAGAACAGGUGCUAAAAACUGGUCUUGGGAGCCCAAUUCAAUAUGCUUUAGAACAGGGCUUUAGCGUCUGCUUUUGAGGCAUUUGAUUAAGACUUGCUGAAUAUCCUGCAUCUUUCAAAAUGAAGUGACUUCAGGUAUUUGUUUUUGAAAGGUCAUUUUGAAACUUUAAAUCAAACACCAAUAAUACAGCAUAAAUCAAGCAUUUGUAUUUAUAAUGUGUUGUUCCUGUUACUUUAUGUGUAACUAGUACUGUAGAUAUUUGUGGGUGUUCUUUCUUACACAGUUGUUUGACUUUAAUCUGCCUCUACAUAAUCUUGCUUAAAAUUAUCAUACCAUUUAAAAAGUCCUCAAAUAGCACAACAUUGCAUAAAUGUCUCCGUGACUCAGGACAGCAAAUUUUCUCAGCAUCUAAAAUUUCAAAUUCUUAGUUUCAUUUCCACAAUAAGGGGACCAUCUGUAUACUGUUUAUUUUAUAUCUUUGACUGUAUUAUUCCUAAUCGAAUAAACUUAUGACAUAUUAUUAAGAGGUUAUGUCAAAUAAA
Dromaius novaehollandiae (emu) is the source of this 4290-nucleotide long non-coding RNA. RefSeq lists it as uncharacterized. Lineage: Eukaryota; Metazoa; Chordata; Aves; Casuariiformes; Dromaiidae. The record is from RefSeq and is a predicted model, not a curated record. The transcript has 3 exons.